GUUGCUGGCUCUGUGUCUAGGAGUGCACUAAAAGUGUAUAUAUAUGGGAAAACAUUUUUUAUUUGUCUACCAUCUAAAGCAUUUGUAAUGUUGUGAAUUCUUUUCUCCUUUCCAUGCAUACUUGUGUGUAGUUGGUGCAAUGAAAUUCUCUUAUACUUGGAUGUGAUUGAAUAACUAAUUACUAAGAAUAAAUUGCGGCAGUUUGUUGCUUUUAUCGUUGAGGAGUCUAUUGUAACAAAAUGGGUCGUGGCAUCUUGCUGAUUGAGAUGUAUGCUGUGAAUCUUUCUAUAUAUUCAGCUAGGCAUUGAUUAUUGUCUUUUGGUGGAAGUCUAGUUGUGAGAUAAAAAAAUGUCAAAUGGUAAAGUUCAGGUUAUAGUACUGCAGCUAUUGGAGCUAGGGUGGAGACAGAUGCAAUUGGUGACCUACAUUUUGCUUGGUCUGGGAUCAUUCUUUUUGUUGCCUGUUGCAUGUAUGUUUAAACCUAUGGCCUCAAAUAAUACCCAAAUAUUCAUAAAAAGAGUUGCUAUGUGAUGUCAAAAGUCCAUAGGACUGAACUCUACCAAAAGUUGCUGAUGGCUGAUGACCUUCCAAUGUGAAGUGGUGGUUUGCUUCAACUUUUUUUGUGGUGUAAUGUUGCAAGCCAAAGAGAGUUUAUUCUUCAUCCUUAAAUUGGCUAGUUAGUAGUUUGUGAGGCAUUGAAUCCCUUUUAUAAUUUAGGGGCAUGCUUUUAGCAUAUGCCAGCUAGUAAUGUGCCAUGUGGACUAGGGAUAGUUAAGAUUAGGGGUGUGCGGCUCCGGUUUAGUUUGGGGUCUGUCUAGGAAUCAGAAUCGAACCAAAAUUUCAAUACGUUUCUGGUUCAGUUCUUUGUUAUUUCGGUUCCAAUUUGGUGCGGUUCUUGAUUCUUUAGUACCGAUUUGGUUCGAUACGGUUUCAAUUCGGUUAUUGGUUCUUGAAAAUAUUAAUACAUAAUAUAUCAUAU
RNAcentral lists this unclassified non-coding RNA (979 nucleotides) under Hevea brasiliensis (rubber tree). The record is from RNAcentral. Lineage: Eukaryota; Viridiplantae; Streptophyta; Magnoliopsida; Malpighiales; Euphorbiaceae.